UACGUAGGGAGCAAGCGUUGUCCGGAAUCAUUGGGCGUAAAGCGCGUGUAGGCGGCUUGGUAAGUCUGCUCUGAAAGCCCGGGGCUCAACCCCGGGAGGCGGGUGGAUACUGCCGAGCUCGAGUCCGGAAGAGGCGAGUGGAAUUCCUGGUGUAGCGGUGAAAUGCGUAGAUAUCUGGAGGAACACCGGUGGCGAAGGCGGCAUUCUGGACCGAUAUUGACGCUGAGGAGCGAAAGCCAGGGGAGCAAACGGG
RNAcentral lists this ribosomal RNA (253 nucleotides) under uncultured bacterium. Its description in RNAcentral is "partial 16S ribosomal RNA". It matches the Rfam family "Bacterial small subunit ribosomal RNA", at positions 524 to 776 of the family's 1533-position model. The record is from RNAcentral.